AAGCUUCUAGUCCUUCUCUUGCAAUUCACGACUUCACCUUCCUCUCCGCCAUUCUAUCCUUACCGACGGUGAUUGUGGGCACUUGUCGUUGCCUUGCAAAGAUUGAAUCCUCCACUGUCCUCCCCGCUUCUGUCUCAUCUUCUCCAUUCGCUAUUCUACCUCCUCCCCUCAUGGUUGUGUCAUUGCUGGUGUGUGGGAGCUGACGCGUGAGAGCUGAAUCACCAAGGCUGAGAUUUACUAAGAUGACGUUGGACCACCUGCCGAUCACUGAGGGGCUUAUGAUUGUGCUAGGUUUUAAAACAUUGAAAAAUAUAGAAAAAGAGGAAGAGAAAAAUUUUCCAGCAAGAAGAGGAACAUGAACAAGAUACAAGGAAAGAAAAAUGAAGAUGAGGAGGGGGAAGGAAAGGAGAUAACACAUGUAUGUUGUGUUACAUAUAUUAAAUUGAUAAGUAAAAGUUCAU
Molecule: long non-coding RNA, 461 nt
Organism: Prosopis cineraria
Lineage: Eukaryota; Viridiplantae; Streptophyta; Magnoliopsida; Fabales; Fabaceae
Exons: 3
Source: RefSeq, a predicted model, not a curated record